CAAUAGGUUGAUGGCGACCGGCGCACGGGUGAGUAACACGUAUCCAACCUACCGGUUAUUCCGGGAUAGCCUUUCGAAGAAAGAUUAAUACCGGAUAGUAUAACGAGAAGGCAUCUUCUUGUUAUUAAAGAAUUUCGAUAACCGAUGGGGAUGCGUUCCAUUAGUUUGUUGGCGGGGUAACGGCCCACCAAGACAUCGAUGGAUAGGGGUUCUGAGAGGAAGGUCCCCCACAUUGGAACUGAGACACGGUCCAA
RNAcentral lists this ribosomal RNA (254 nucleotides) under uncultured bacterium. Its description in RNAcentral is "partial 16S ribosomal RNA". It matches the Rfam family "Bacterial small subunit ribosomal RNA", at positions 78 to 334 of the family's 1533-position model. The record is from RNAcentral.